GCGCGGUAAAACCAGCACCUCAAGUGGUCAGGAGGAUUAUUGGGCCUAAAGCAUCCGUAGCCGGCUCUGUAAGUUUUCGGUUAAAUCCAUGUGCUCAACACAUGGGCUGCCGAAAAUACUGCAUAGCUAGGGAGUGGGAGAGGUAGACGGUACUCGGUAGGAAGGGGUAAAAUCCUUUGAUCUAUCGAUGACCACCUGUGGCGAAGGCGGUCUACCAGAACACGUUCGACGGUGAGGGAUGAAAGCUGGGGGAGCAAACCGGAUUAGAUACCCGGGUAGUCCCAGCUGUAAACGAUGCAGACUCGAUGAUGCAUUGGCAUAUAGCCAGUGCAGUGUCGCAGGGAAGCCGUUAAGUCUGCCGCCUGGGAAGUACGUACGCAAGUAUGAAACUUAAAGGAAUUGGCGGGGGAGCA
RNAcentral lists this ribosomal RNA (413 nucleotides) under crenarchaeote SCGC AAA008-M23. RNAcentral describes it as "SSU rRNA". It matches the Rfam family "Archaeal small subunit ribosomal RNA", at positions 465 to 878 of the family's 1478-position model. The record is from RNAcentral. Lineage: Archaea; Thermoproteati; Thermoproteota.